This is a long non-coding RNA of Helianthus annuus (common sunflower), 1433 nucleotides long. RefSeq lists it as uncharacterized. Lineage: Eukaryota; Viridiplantae; Streptophyta; Magnoliopsida; Asterales; Asteraceae. The record is from RefSeq and is a predicted model, not a curated record. The transcript is spliced from 5 exons.
AUGACAGACCAACGUUGCUUUCUACAUUCUCUCUCUACCUGCAAGUCAAAAUAUGUCCAAAAACCCUAACUUUCCUUUCAAAUUUCAAAUGCCUUUUUUUCAUUUUCGUUCUCUCUCUCCCCCUCAAAUCCGGAUCCAAAUGAAAUUUUCGUUCUCUCUCUCCAAGCGAUUUUGUAGAUUGUAGAUCCAGGGUUUCGGGCAUCUUCAAGGUGGGUUUAUGGCAUUUUCAGAUCUCACAAAACUUCAUCAUCAAGAAUAUCAUUCAAGAUCUCUCACCAGAUGCCGUUUCAUGACCAGAUCUGUGAUUAUUUGUGAUUUAUGAUAGAUGUUAUUUGUGGUGUUAUUAUUGUUUGUAUACAUAUGGUCCUCCACCGUAAUGCCGUCGUCAUCACUAUCCACUUCAAACCCUCUGUUUAUUAUGGCUGGUUCAGGCCCCUGUUGUGAUUCUGGUUUACAGUUUCUUUCGGAAAGAUAAGAAUCAGAGCUCGAUAAUUCAUCGUUUUUGUUAUGUUCGUUCGAGUGAGUUAUCAAAAUUCAUAUGUAAACUUGAUUGUAUAUUUUUUAAAAUGUUACACUGCAGUACUUGAAAGCUGUAGCUAGAGGUUUAUUGGGGCUUCCGGUUGGUUAUAGCUGUGCAUCUACAGUCCCAGGGAAUGGUUCAAGUCUCAGGUGGAGCUCUGUGAGGAGAUAUAAAACAGGAGAUUAGUUGCCAGUCGUUGGCGCUGACAUGGAGCGAGAAGGCAGCGGCGGAGGCAGUUGCAGCAGCCUCAUGCUCCGGCCAUGGUAGAGCUUUUGUUCACCAUUUGACUUCUGAUGGUCAACCAGUUUGUGAGUGCUUUAAUUGUUAUAACGGAUCUGAUUGCUCUCUAUAUUCUCGUGAAUGUGAUGCAGUUACCACAAGUGGGAAUCUUACAUUUGCGGAGCCAUUUUGGAUUCAAAAUGUAGCUAAUACUGCAGUCGUCAUAUCGGGAUGGCAUCGUAUGGGUUACAACAUCGCUGGUGUGAGGUUAUUCGUAGUGAGUCAUAGUCGGUGACAGUUACGGCGCCGGAGUGGUGACAGUUGUUCGAAUUGGUCAUCGUCUAACGUGGUGGUGAGGCGACUUCUGUUGAAGAUUUGGGGACAGGGCCAACUUGAUGCGUGUAAGAAGCCUGUGUGGAAUGGCUGCAGCUUGGCUUGCGCUCGGUGAGUGAACUAAACCGACACUUAAGUCGUCUUAGUCGCAGUCAUUAAAAGCGCUUUCUGAUGGUGCAUCACUCCCUGCAAUACAGGUUGUAGUUUUACUUUAGUAUUCUAAUUGAUUGUUUUACCUUUGGGAUUUGGAAAAUUGAAUACAUUGAAUACGUUUACUUGUGUAUAUAGAUGAAAAUUUGAAUUAAAAUAUGUAUGUGCAUAGUUGCAGAUGUAUAAUUUAAGAUAUGUAUUAUAUUGCUCA